AUCUAUGUAGUUUAUAAAAACAUUUUAUUUUCAUUAAAAAAAUGAUUAAUCGAAAUCUAUAGAUA
Molecule: transfer RNA, 65 nt
Filed under: Empoascanara alami
Lineage: Eukaryota; Metazoa; Arthropoda; Insecta; Hemiptera; Cicadellidae
Also listed under: 1 other name
Description: tRNA-Glu
Source: RNAcentral